GAAACCUAGUCGGGCAGGGAUAUUCUCACCACUUUACAGACGCAGCCAUGGUUUUUAUACUGGAAUUUUGGUAGCUCCCUCGCGUGUUCCUUUUUUUAUGAGUGCACCUUAUCUUGUUGUACGUUCCUGCUUGUGGGAGGUUCUUGUCAUAUAUUUCAGGGCUCGUGAUUUGUUAAAGGAUGGUUUCGUGUUCUGCACAAAGCAAUUGCAGCUUGGCACUGCUUUCCCAAAUUGGUUUAGUGGCGUGUUCAUUUAUGGUGUUCUUCAGACUAGUUCAAUUCUUAUUUGCAAUGUUCUUCAAACUAGUACCAUCCUUAUUACAAUGUUCAUUGAACUGGUUGCCAUCUCCCUGUUAUCAUGUUGGUAUGUGAAACUAGUUGUGACAAGUAGCCAGGCCACCACUGCUUUAUAAUUGUUUGUGCAUAACAGUUCAAGGUAAGUUUCCCUGUAAGCAACAUGUAUUGCCUGACUAGGUAGGAAGCAUCUGUUUCCUUCCUCUGUAAAAAGGUUUGACAAUUGGCUGUAAUGGCUGAAACGGAAAAAGGUAACGACUCAAACAGCAAAUGUCAUAUUUAUGUUAGAAUCUGCAGUGAUCACUGAUCAGCGUAUUUUCAUUUAUCAAUGGCAUUUAGAAACUAAUUCCCUUAGUUUUAUUAUGGGAAAGUUGCUCUUUGGUUAAAUACUAGCAAAACAUGCAAGUUAUUUUUUGUUAUAUUGCAUCAAGAAGCAUGCCCUCAGAGGCUCACAUUUAACCAUAUUGUCACUGUUUGUUCAAGAAAUGCCACUAUAAUUUCAUUAACCUAACCACCUCUUUUAUCUAAACGUUUUCUGUUAGACAAGAUGACAUUUUGUGUUCACUAGGCACCUUUUAUCUUUAUGUUUCCUCAGUAAACUUGUCUAGCAAAGAUGAACAAACAUUUAUGUUCAUGUCCUGUGUCAGUUCUUACUUUCGGUCUCUCUUCUUGAAACUGAAAGGUAGAGAUUCUCUACCUUAUAAUUUCCAACUCUACUGAAGAUGAUCAGUCAAGUCAAUGUGUCCGUGGUCUUCCUUCAAUGUCACUGCUUACGUAGCACACAUAGGAUUUCUUGUCCAGCUUCAGUUGCAUAUCUUAUAGGAUACAUUGAUCUGUUCUUUUCUGACAAAGUAAAUGUUGUAAGUAGCCUGGUUGAAAAUUCUACUGCAAUUUAUGAUGUCUAAGAAGGCCAUGGAACGAAGUAAAACUACUUACUGUUGAUAAGAAUAUAGUUUUUUUAGUUUCUUGUUACAUAAUCUGGUAUCAAUUGGUUAUUUUUCAAAAUGAAAGGCAAAUCAAUUCUCCAUCUGUGCAGGGGUUAAGGCCUUAGGUUCUGGGUAUCAUCGAUUGAGACUGAGCUGUU
This 1377-nucleotide long non-coding RNA is filed under the name Triticum aestivum (bread wheat). RNAcentral's name for it is "long non-coding RNA (TAES_LNC007885)". Lineage: Eukaryota; Viridiplantae; Streptophyta; Magnoliopsida; Poales; Poaceae. The record is from RNAcentral.